AUACGUAGGUGGCAAGCGUUGUCCGGAUUUAUUGGGCGUAAAGCGAGCGCAGGCGGUUCUUUAAGUCUGAUGUGAAAGCCCCCGGCUCAACCGGGGAGGGGCAUUGGAAACUGGAGAACUUGAGUGCAGAAGAGGAGAGUGGAAUUCCAUGUGUAGCGGUGAAAUGCGUAGAUAUAUGGAGGAACACCAGUGGCGAAGGCGGCUCUCUGGUCUGUAACUGACGCUGAGGCUCGAAAGCGUGGGGAGAAAACAGGAUUAGAGACCCUGGUAGUCCACGCCGUAAACGAUGAGUGCUAAGUGUUGGAGGGCUUCCGCCCUUCAGUGCUGCAGCUAACGCAUUAAGCACUCCGCCUGGGGAGUACGGCCGCAAGGCUGAAACUCAAAUGAAUUGACGGGG
This 397-nucleotide ribosomal RNA is filed under the name uncultured bacterium. RNAcentral describes it as "partial 16S ribosomal RNA". It matches the Rfam family "Bacterial small subunit ribosomal RNA", at positions 523 to 918 of the family's 1533-position model. The record is from RNAcentral.